RNAcentral lists this ribosomal RNA (441 nucleotides) under uncultured bacterium. Its description in RNAcentral is "bacterial SSU rRNA". It matches the Rfam family "Bacterial small subunit ribosomal RNA", at positions 8 to 445 of the family's 1533-position model. The record is from RNAcentral.
AGAGUUUGAUCCUGGCUCAGGAUGAACGCUAGCGGCAGGCUUAAUACAUGCAAGUCGUGGGGCAGCAGGGGUAGCAAUACCCGCUGGCGACCGGCAAACGGGUGCGGAACACGUACGCAACCUCCCUUUAACUGGAGAAUAGCCCCUCGAAAGAGGGAUUAAUACUCCGUAACAUAUACAUGUGGCAUCACAAGUAUAUUAUAGCUCCGGCGGUUAAAGAUGGGCGUGCGCCUGACUAGAUAGUUGGCGGGGUAACGGCCCACCAAGUCUGCGAUCAGUAACUGGUGUGAGAGCACGACCAGUCACACGGGCACUGAGACACGGGCCCGACUCCUACGGGAGGCAGCAGUAAGGAAUAUUGGUCAAUGGACGCAAGUCUGAACCAGCCAUGCCGCGUGGAGGAUUAAGGCCCUCUGGGUUGUAAACUCCUUUUAUCUGGGA